Molecule: ribosomal RNA, 1210 nt
Filed under: Staphylococcus saprophyticus
Lineage: Bacteria; Bacillati; Bacillota; Bacilli; Caryophanales; Staphylococcaceae
Description: bacterial SSU rRNA
Rfam family: Bacterial small subunit ribosomal RNA
Source: RNAcentral
GGGGGAGGAAAAAGAGGGGAGGACAGCCAUGAGUUUGUCGAGCGAACAGAUAAGGAGCUUGCUCCUUUGACGUUAGCGGCGGACGGGUGAGUAACACGUGGGUAACCUACCUAUAAGACUGGGAUAACUUCGGGAAACCGGAGCUAAUACCGGAUAACAUUUGGAACCGCAUGGUUCUAAAGUGAAAGAUGGUUUUGCUAUCACUUAUAGAUGGACCCGCGCCGUAUUAGCUAGUUGGUAAGGUAACGGCUUACCAAGGCGACGAUACGUAGCCGACCUGAGAGGGUGAUCGGCCACACUGGAACUGAGACACGGUCCAGACUCCUACGGGAGGCAGCAGUAGGGAAUCUUCCGCAAUGGGCGAAAGCCUGACGGAGCAACGCCGCGUGAGUGAUGAAGGGUUUCGGCUCGUAAAACUCUGUUAUUAGGGAAGAACAAACGUGUAAGUAACUGUGCACGUCUUGACGGUACCUAAUCAGAAAGCCACGGCUAACUACGUGCCAGCAGCCGCGGUAAUACGUAGGUGGCAAGCGUUAUCCGGAAUUAUUGGGCGUAAAGCGCGCGUAGGCGGUUUCUUAAGUCUGAUGUGAAAGCCCACGGCUCAACCGUGGAGGGUCAUUGGAAACUGGGAAACUUGAGUGCAGAAGAGGAAAGUGGAAUUCCAUGUGUAGCGGUGAAAUGCGCAGAGAUAUGGAGGAACACCAGUGGCGAAGGCGACUUUCUGGUCUGUAACUGACGCUGAUGUGCGAAAGCGUGGGGGAUCAAACAGGAUUACAUACCCUGGUAGUCCACGCCGUAACGAUGAGUGCUAAGUGUUAGGGGGUUUUCCGCCCCUUAGUGCUGGCAGCUAACGCAUUAAGCACUCCGCCUGGGGAGUACGACCGCAAGGGUUGAAACUCAAAGGAAUUGACGGGGACCCCGCACAAGCGGUGGAGCAUGUGGUUUAAUUCGAAGCAACGCGGAAGAACCUUACCAAAAUCUUGACAUCCUUUGAAAACUCUAGAGAUAGAGCUCUUCCCCCUUCGGGGGACAAGGUGACAGUGGUGCAUGGGCUGUUCGGUCACCUCCGUGUCAUGAGAUGUUGGGGUUAAAGUCCAGCAACGAUGCGCAAACCCGUUAGGGCUUAGUUGCCAUCAAUAACGUUGGGCAACUCUGUAGGCUAUGAACCUGUCGCGGGUUGGCACCGAACGCGCGGACGAAGCGGAAAGAA